RNAcentral lists this ribosomal RNA (588 nucleotides) under uncultured bacterium. RNAcentral's name for it is "bacterial SSU rRNA". It matches the Rfam family "Bacterial small subunit ribosomal RNA", at positions 335 to 916 of the family's 1533-position model. The record is from RNAcentral.
ACUCCUACGGGAGGCAGCAGUGGGGAAUAUUGCACAAUGGGCGCAAGCCUGAUGCAGCCAUGCCGCGUGUGUGAAGAAGGCCUUCGGGUUGUAAAGCACUUUCAGUCAGGAGGAAAGGUUAGUAGUUAAUACCUGCUAGCUGUGACGUUACUGACAGAAGAAGCACCGGCUAACUCCGUGCCAGCAGCCGCGGUAAUACGGAGGGUGCGAGCGUUAAUCGGAAUUACUGGGCGUAAAGCGUACGCAGGCGGUUUGUUAAGCGAGAUGUGAAAGCCCCGGGCUCAACCUGGGAACUGCAUUUCGAACUGGCAAACUAGAGUGUGAUAGAGGGUGGUAGAAUUUCAGGUGUAGCGGUGAAAUGCGUAGAGAUCUGAAGGAAUACCGAUGGCGAAGGCAGCCACCUGGGUCAACACUGACGCUCAUGUACGAAAGCGUGGGGAGCAAACAGGAUUAGAUACCCUGGUAGUCCACGCCGUAAACGAUGUCUACUAGAAGCUCGGAACCUCGGUUCUGUUUUUCAAAGCUAACGCAUUAAGUAGACCGCCUGGGGAGUACGGCCGCAAGGUUAAAACUCAAAGGAAUUGACGG